Molecule: long non-coding RNA, 846 nt
Organism: Megalobrama amblycephala (Wuchang bream)
Lineage: Eukaryota; Metazoa; Chordata; Actinopteri; Cypriniformes; Xenocyprididae
Exons: 5
Source: RefSeq, a predicted model, not a curated record
GCUUGACACUACAGCACUGAAAUCAGUGACAGAAACUCGAGCGCAGUUUACCAUCCGCUCCACUAGGCGGCGCGAGCGUGUUUCACUGUCAGCGCGACACCUUUGGGUCCUUGACAACAACGACGCUUGAUGACAGUCGCUACGACACGUGCAGAUGACAGCUAUUACCACACAACUGCACAUAUUCCAGCAAAUAAACCGACUCACAGUGCGAUAAAAUGCGGGAAUCGAGUGUCAUUAACUCCUCGAAUAAGGGAUGUUUGGACACCCAGUCAUCAGAAGCAGAGCUGUAGGAAGUGUGGACAGACAUUGACUGUAAUGAUGGACUUCUGCUGAUGGACAGACAGAAAAGUAUAACCCCUGCUGGACAUCGUACCGGGGCUCAGGGGGGGACCCGACUCAUCCCCGCCCCUUCACGCUCACACCAUUCACUCAUAUCGCUGAGGUCUGGCUGGGAUCGAACCAGCAACCUCUGAACCCGUGAGGCAGCGCUCUUAACCUAAUAAGGGAUGUUUGGACACCCAGUCAUCAGAAGCAGAGCUGUAGGAAGUGUGGACAGACAUUGACUGUAAUGAUGGACUUCUGCUGAUGGACAGACAGAAAAGUAUAACCCCUGCUGGACAUCGUACCGGGGCUUCGGGGGGGGACCCAACUCAUCCCCGCCCCUUCACGCUCACACCAUUCACUCAUAUCGCUGAGAUCUGGCUGGGAUCGAACCAGCAACCUCUGAACCCGUGAGGCAGCGCUCUUAACCUGUGAGCCACAGAUCUCAUGUCUGAAUAUGUGCAGGAACUUAUAUUUCACUGUUUCCUGACCUGUGAUUUACAAUAAACUAGUUAAAGCUUU